Molecule: long non-coding RNA, 352 nt
Filed under: Pan troglodytes (chimpanzee)
Lineage: Eukaryota; Metazoa; Chordata; Mammalia; Primates; Hominidae
Description: long non-coding RNA NONPTRT014311
Source: RNAcentral
AAUAUGUUCAUAAUCAUAAAUAUCAUUAAUAUAAAAUACAAAAAUAUUCAUAAAAGCAUGACCAAGCAUUCAUGUACUCCAUAGAGACUGCAUAUAAAAACAACAAAAUAUGACUGGAAGCUAUAAAUCAUGACUAGGUAUGUAUCUAUCAAUGUAGCUUAAAACACAUUAAUUAAAAGUUGUCAGAAGUAUGAAGGAAAUUUAGCAAAUGCUAGCAUUAAAUUUUAACAAAAAUCUACUAGAAAAUGAUAGAUUCUGCUGACCAAAUAAUAGCAAGAAUGUGGACACCCUGAAUUCUCAUAUUUAACUAGUUAGGGUAAUAUGAGGAUGACAUAAUAUCAGAAAAGCAAUG